Molecule: ribosomal RNA, 468 nt
Filed under: uncultured bacterium
Lineage: Bacteria
Description: partial 16S ribosomal RNA
Rfam family: Bacterial small subunit ribosomal RNA
Source: RNAcentral
GACGAACGCUGGCGGCGUGCUUAACACAUGCAAGUCGAACGGAAAGGCCCUGCUUUUGUUGGGUGCUCGAGUGGCGAACGGGUGAGUAACACGUGAGUAACCUGCCCGUGACUUUGGGAUAACUUCAGGAAACUGGGGCUAAUACCGGAUAGGAGCUCCUGCUGCAUGGUGUGUGCUGGAAAGUUUCGGUGGCUGGGGUAGGACUCGCGGCUUAUCAGCUUUUUGGUGGGGUAGUGGCUUACCAAGGCGUUGGCGGGUAGCCGGCCUGGGAGGGUGACCGGCCACAUUGGGACUGAGGUACGACCCAGACGGCUACGGGAGGCAGGGGUGGGGAAUAUUGCACGAUGGGCGGAAGCCGGAAGCAGCAACGCCGCGUGCGGAAUGACGGCCUUCGGGUUGUAAACCGCUUUCGCCUGUGACGAAGAGUGAGUGACGGUAAUGGGUAAAGAAGCACCGGCUAACUACGUG